CGCUGUAGCUCAGUUGGUAGAGCACCUGAUUCGUAAUCAGUUGGUCGCCAGUUCGAUUCUGGCCUGCGG
RNAcentral lists this transfer RNA (69 nucleotides) under bovine gut metagenome. It matches the Rfam family "tRNA". Rfam says of the family: Transfer RNA (tRNA) molecules are approximately 80 nucleotides in length. Their secondary structure includes four short double-helical elements and three loops (D, anti-codon, and T loops). The record is from RNAcentral.